Molecule: small RNA, 165 nt
Filed under: Anas platyrhynchos platyrhynchos (common mallard)
Lineage: Eukaryota; Metazoa; Chordata; Aves; Anseriformes; Anatidae
Also listed under: 1 other name
Description: TUC338 (ENSAPLG00000025269.1)
Source: RNAcentral
UUCAGUGCUGGAUAAAAUCUUCUGUUCGUGAAUGAAGCAGUACAGUUGGUACAUGUUUUUCUCUUCACUUCUUCAUCUCCAAAUGUGCUUUAGUCCUAACCUAGAGGGACCACCUGUGAGUAAGAGGGUAGUUUAGUCUCCAUGCUUAUUCACUCCUUGGUCUCU